UAAACAUUAAGUAUCAUCCACGUAUGAUUUGAACGAACAGAAUGAUCAGGGCAAUUGAAAAGCAACACACAAGAAAUCAAUGCAAAACGAUGAAGACACAAAAGAAGUUAAUCUAUUAGACUUAGAAGACAAUUAAUAUAUAGCAAUAGAGACAAGCCAUAGGCUUUUUCUCGACAAUAACACACCAGAAAGCAACAUUAACCGUUCAAUGAUAAUCCACCGGCAUUAAACAACACGAGGUAACAGUUGAUUAAAACCCUAACAACAAAUUAAAUUUCCUCGUUAUAUAUAUGAGAGGGAAAGCCUCCUCAUACCGCCUCUUUAACCUGCUUAGGCAUGGAACCAGCUUCAGGGAUCUUACCAUAACCCAUCUUCUUAGCGCUAAGAUCAUCCUCUUCAUCUCCAUCCUCGCCAUCAAAUUCCUCAUAGCGGUAAUCGUAGCGGGUAGAGAAGAGGGACCAGACCAAGUACAUGGUAGCGGCGGUAAGAGCGCCACAACCAACGCCAAAAAGCAAAGCGACCACGACACUGAGAAUGUCCUUGGUGCGAUCACGGAGAGAACUCAUGUCAUAGGAAGAAAGCCCAAAAGGCAAGACAGGAGCUUCUUGCGGCUUUUGGAUAGCUUUGGGUUGAGAAUCUUGAUCAUCACCAUCAUCAUCAACGGUGGGGAAAACCCGGCGAUCGAGGAGGAUCUCAGAGGACGAACGUUGUUGAGUAAUUUCGGUGACGAUGGUGAAGAAUCCGGAGGAGGAAGGGUGAUGAGAGUUAGGGUAAAUGGGCUUGAUGGAGAAGGAGUAGGAGGAGAUGAAGAGCGUUUUGCAGGGUCUAGCAGAGGCAGAGAACGAGAGAAAAGCAACAAGAAUUGAGAAUAGAAGAAGAAGCUUUCGAUUUCGUGAAGCCAUUGAAAUGGAAAAGAAACCCAGCCGAUAGCCGGAAUUGAAACUAGAUGAAUAAAAGGUGACACCGUGGACUUCUUCUUGGGUCAGAGAAUAUUAUUUAUUUACGGCCACCUGUAAUUAAGGCAAGG
This 1027-nucleotide unclassified non-coding RNA is filed under the name Hevea brasiliensis (rubber tree). The record is from RNAcentral. Lineage: Eukaryota; Viridiplantae; Streptophyta; Magnoliopsida; Malpighiales; Euphorbiaceae.